Equus asinus (donkey) is the source of this 2366-nucleotide long non-coding RNA. The record is from Ensembl. Lineage: Eukaryota; Metazoa; Chordata; Mammalia; Perissodactyla; Equidae.
CCUAGACAGGUGAGUGUGUGGUGGUUGGUGAUUGGCAUAGGCUUUCAUAGGGUAACAAACAUCUGCCUUGUUGACUCUUCCUGGGCUGGUUAGUGAUGCUAUUUGGUCCUACCCCUACCACUUUUUUCACUUUGUUAUUUUCUCCUCAUGUCUCAGAGUCAAUGUUUUCUAACAUUUCUAGUCUCUCCAAGACCCCACCUUACAUUGUUAAGGCUAACUUCUGUUCUUUUCUCUUCUUCCUAAGAGAGACCUGUGAGUGGGAUGGAAAUGGCAUUGAACUAGCAUCAGAAAUGGAUUCUAGGGGCCGGCCCAGUGGCGCAGCGGUUAAGUUUGCACGUUCUGCUUCGGCGGCCCAGGGUUCACCGGUUCAGCUCCCGGGUGUGGACAUGGCACCCACUUGGCAAGCCAUGCUAUGUUUCAAACUUCCCUGCCCAAAGGAAACUCCAAGACUUUGUUCCUCAAGCAGCUGCCUGCAUCGGAAUUCCACGGACAGGAGCUGCCAAGUUCAGCCUCACUGGGCAAGGCCGGUCAGCCCCAAUAGGUGGGACAGCUGGCAGAAACUCUGCCUCAUUCCAACACUGGCUGGCUGUUGGGGCAAGAGUUGGCACAAAGGUUAACAUGUGAAAUGAAGAAUUCAGGAAAAAGCACGAUGCAUCUUGGUACUGGUGUCCUGAGGCUUUGCAAAUCUGGAUGGUGAGUGUAUGUUUCAGCUAUUAUGUCAGUGUGGGGAAAAUGGAUGGAAACAACAGCUCCAUCUCCUGCUGCAUGCCCAAUCUCGCUGCCCCCCAGCAGAGGAGACUGCGCAAUCCAGCACAACUCAAACAACCAGCGAGGGCCUGGCACCGGGCUCCUGGGGACCGCCGGGCGGGCUGAAUUGUUCAGGGCUGGCGGCGGGGCUGAGUGACUCACCCCACAGGAGAGGUGCCCACGUUAACCCAGCGACUCCAUUCCAGGCAGCGCUUGUUCCCCAGCGCCGGAGGCCACGGAGGUUUGGGGCCAAGGAGUGACAAGACCUGGCUUCAGUUUACAAAGAUCAUUCUGGCUGCUGCCUAGAGAAUGGAAGGCUGGCAGGGAGAGCCCACCGGGAGGCCACUGCAGCAGGCCAGGGAGAGAGAGGUGAGAACGGGGGACUAGCUUUGGAGACAGCAAGAAGCAAUGGAUUUGAAAGCUGCUGAUGUGUUUUGAAAAUGGAACUGACGGGAUUUGACACCAGAAUGGAGGUGGGUGUGAGGAAUGAGGAGGCAAGGGGGAUUCCGAGAUUUGCCAACUGAGCAUCUAAGUCGAUGGAGCUGGUGAGGGGAAGUUACGAAUUCUGUUUGGGACAUGUGAAGUUUGAGGUGACCAUUAGGCACCCUGGUGGAGAUGUUGCUGUGCACUCGGAGAUGUGAGGCCGUGACUCUGGACUCGGGGUGGGGGUCGGGAGCUGGAGACACGCAUUUCCUUGGCUUGGAGAUGGAACUGACAGCUGUGGGAGAGAUGCAACCCCUGGAGAAACUUAAAAUGGAGGGCAAGGGGAGUGAGCACGGAGCCCUGGGCCUCACCAUGGAGAGGUUUGGAAGAGGAGGCUGAACCAGCCGGGAGACUCCGAAAGAGGGGCCAGCGAGAAGCCAAGAAUGAAAAGGGUUUAGAGGGAGGGCAGACUGCCAGCCACGCAGUAUCUACAUCUGAAAGGCAGCCAUUCUGCUGGAAGAAAUGACAGUCGGGUGGCCCCCGGCUGGCCUGACUUCCCACACAGCCUGUUCCUUAGAGUCUUGAAAGCCAGCAAAACUCUUUCUUUGCAGAAAUACUGCCUGGGUUGCAAGGAGCUGUGGCCAGACCAGUCACGAGCGAUUCCAGACAGUUUGGGAACAUGGAUUCCACGCCCAGCACUCCAUCUUAUGAGAAACAGAUGACUCCUUUUUCUGAAAUGGCGAGUGCCUCCAGAGACCCAUCCCGGCCCUUCUUUGUUCCAAAGCAAACACUUGCCUUGGCUUCUGUUCUCACGCCCGGACGCGCUGUACGGGAGCGGAGCUCCUGAGCCAAGGACCUGAGACUUGAAUGGAAGUCAACAAACCUGUACGGAAGCUGGGACCAUGGAGAGGCGGGACUGGUUUCGUAACAAACGUUCUAGACUUACACAUCCAAAUGAGUGUUGUCCCCGUCAAAACAGUCCCCUCGGUAGGCCAUCGAUUUACUUCAAGGGUGAUAAUUAUAACAAGGUAUCAACAUUUGUGGAGCAUUUGGCAAAUGUUAACCUUGGGCUAUGAGCUCUAUAAGAGUUCCCUAUGUGACCCUCACAGCCCCGUUAACAGACGGGGAAACUGAGGUUCAGAGAGAUCAAGUCAUGGGUCCGAAGUCCUCCACUCCAAGGUUCGAGUGACUUUCAG